Molecule: non-coding RNA, 72 nt
Organism: Trichonephila clavipes
Lineage: Eukaryota; Metazoa; Arthropoda; Arachnida; Araneae; Nephilidae
Source: the annotation of a GenBank genome assembly
GUCCCUGUAGCGCAAUGAAUGGCACGUUGGACUUCUAAUCCAAAUUCGUGGGUGUGAUUCCCACCUGAGAUG